RNAcentral lists this ribosomal RNA (496 nucleotides) under uncultured bacterium. RNAcentral's name for it is "partial 16S ribosomal RNA". It matches the Rfam family "Bacterial small subunit ribosomal RNA", at positions 29 to 507 of the family's 1533-position model. The record is from RNAcentral.
AUGAACGCUGGCGGCGUGCCUAAUACAUGCAAGUCGAGCGAACAGACGAGGAGCUUGCUCCUCUGACGUUAGCGGCGGACGGGGGAGUAACACGUGGAUAACCUACCUAUAAGACUGGGAUAACUUCGGGAAACCGGAGCUAAUACCGGAUAAUAUAUUGAACCGCAUGGUUCAAUAGUGAAAGACGGUUUUGCUGUCACUUAUAGAUGGAUCCGCGCCGCAUUAGCUAGUUGGUAAGAUAACGGCUUACCAAGGCAACGAUGCGUAGCCGACCUGAGAGGGUGAUCGGCCACACUGGAACUGAGACACGGUCCAGACUCCUACGGGAGGCAGCAGUAGGGAAUCUUCCGCAAUGGGCGAAAGCCUGACGGAGCAACGCCGCGUGAGUGAUGAAGGUCUUCGGAUCGUAAAACUCUGUUAUUAGGGAAGAACAAAUGUGUAAGUAACUAUGCACGUCUUGACGGUACCUAAUCAGAAAGCCACGGCUAACUACGUG